AAGCCUUCCGAUUCCAGAGAACAAAAAUCAAAUAAAAAUAAAAAAGUUAAACGCUAACGGACUCCUCUCACUCUCCCUCGACAAAUCCAUGACCACUACCUCCCUUUCCAUGUCAAAGCUCCAUUACUCUCUCAGGUUUUGAUAGGUUGUGCCUGGAUUGUUAUUUUGUGUUGUUUUGGUUGGUUAAUGAUGGCACUAGUUUGUUAAUUGAGGGAAAAAUGAGCUUUGAUUUUUUGAUAAUAGAGAAAUGGAAAGUGAUGAUUUGUCGAAUUGUAAGGAUUUGGAAGCUAAGUUAGGGUCACAGAAGGGUUUGUCAAGGAAUUUGUUGAAACCUAGGGUUAACAAAGGAAUGGAGGAGCAGAAGAAAUUGUUGGGGAAGCAAAUUGAGGUUGGUAUCGAUUCAGAUGACAAUGAGCCCAUUGGGUCUUUGUUCAGGUUGAAGAGACCUAGAAACCCUAAAAAGGUUAAGGUGGUUUUGGAGAAGAUUGGAGUUAGGGAAGAUAAAUUGGUGACCGAAGAUGAGGAUUUGGGAGGAAUGGAUGAUACACUUGCGAGUUUUAAGAAGAAGUUGAAAGCUCCUAAGAAGGGUUUGGGAUCUGUAAGUGCCAUUCCAAAUGAAGGUGACGAGUUAUUGGAUGGAAAUGUGGAGAAAAAAGUACAAAACAAGCAUAAGGAGAGAGCGAGUAAAGUGGAGAGUGGUUGGAACAGUGUGGGAACUGGGGGUCAUGCUGCGGUUGAUGAUGAUUCGGAGGGUUUGGGAUCUCAGGGUGCUCUGUUAGAGAACCAAGAAGAGGAAAGUUUGUUGCCUGGUGAGAGUUCAAGUCAGUCUUUGGAUAAGUUGGAAGAUUCAAUAUCAGCUUUUUAUCAGAAGAAGCAAUCGGGUUCGGUGAGGAAGUCUUGUGCAAAUUCGAGUUCAAAGCAAAUUAAUAGGGUUCAGUGUUUGGAGGCCCGAUUAAGCCCUGGAUCUGGAGCUGGUUCUGGGGGUUCCAAGGAUGUGGAUUUAAGUAUAUUCAGAUCCAGUCCUGUCUCAAAUGUGGUCUGCAAAGAUCUGGAAGCUGGAGACAGUUCCCAUAUAGUUGCCAAUUUGAGUUUGUUAGAUUCUCCCUCUAGACAAAUUUUGAAUACAAAAAACCAGAGGCUUGAUAAUGGGUUUGAUGAAAUUUCCUAUUGCAUAGAAGAAAACACUGAUAGAAUCAAGGGGCUCUCUGUGAGCAAGGAUGAAAGUAUGAAAUCCAAUGACAAGAGACAUGGUAAAUCUUCAGAAGUUACUGCUGAGGUUGCUGCACCUGCAUCUCCAGCAUUGGGAUCUCAACAUGGGGUGAUUGAAGAGGAAGAAACGCAGGACCCAUGCAUCUCAGAUUUUAAAGGGGAACCUAUGGGGAAACCUUUUAGUUCAUAUAAAAUUUGGAAUGAAAGUCAUUCUGCUUCAGGCAAUAAUGAUGGCUUGGAAGCUCAGACUUUAAAGAAUGGGUUAAAGCUUUGUUCUGUGGGUAAAGCAAGCACCAGGAACGCAUUAGAACAACAAUCUAAGGGUGUUUCAGCCGCAUGCAUUUCAAAUGCAGAACCUCAAAUUUCAAUAUCUUCAGGCGGAAGAGAAGUCUCAGCCUCCUCUAGCCCUAAUAGUCAAAAUGAUCUGCAGGAUCUUGCUUCAGUUCCAAAAAAGGAAAAUGUGGAAAUAUCUGAUGUUAGGUUGUCACCAAUUACUGUAACAUCCAGAGAAGUCCACAAAUGUACAUUUUCUUUGUGCAUGAACAACAACAGGAACUCCUUAGAUUAUCUUUCGAUCAAUGAAGAGGCCAAUGGACCAUCUCCUCGAUCUUUAACUCCAGAAGAAAAUGAAAGUUAUCCAGAAGAUUCUGUAUCAGUGCCAGAUUCUGACAUCAAAGAUGGUCACUUAGCAGCUUUGCAUCGUGCUAUGCGGAAGCCCAAAAAGCGCAGACUUGGAGACAUGGCUUAUGAAGGGGAUGCUGAUUGGGAGACUUUGAUAAAUGAGAAACAAUUUCUGGAAAAUGACCAGGUUGUUGAAAGUGACCGAUCUUUUAGAACCAGAGAGAAGUCUGAUUCUUCUUCAAAUAGUGUCGAGUCUGAAAAUUGCAGGAUUGCAGCAGUUACAGCUGGAUUGAAAGCACGUGCAGCAGGUCCAGUCGAAAAGAUCAAGUUUAAGGAGGUCUUAAAGCGCAAAGGUGGGCUUCAAGAAUAUUUGGAGUGCAGGAAUCGGAUAUUGGGUCUUUGGAGCAAAGACGUUAGCCGUAUAUUGCCUCUUGCAGACUGUGGCAUCACUGAGACUCCUUCCCAGAAUGAAUCUCCUCGUGCUUCUUUAAUAAGGCUAAUCUAUGAAUUUCUUGAUCAGAGUGGCUAUAUAAAUGCUGGAAUUGCUUCUGAGAAAGAGAGUGCAGAACCUAGUGCCAAUCACAAUUAUAAACUUGUCGAAGAAAAAACUUUUGAGGGAAAUCCUGGAGCUUCAGUAGCUGAUUUAGAAGAUGGGGUCUCCUUUAUCCUUGGUCAGGUUCAAAGUUCUCAAAAUUCUUUGGAGCCAAAGGACAGGGUUCCAAUGGAUAACCAAGACCUGGCAUUGAAAGCUUUGAAAAGGGGGAAGCUUGUUGCUCCAGUGACACUGGAUUUACCCAAUGUUGAGGAAUGUGAAGAAUGGCCAGCUGAAGAUAUUAAGCAAAAUAGUGUUAGCAAUACAAAGUUAUCUAAUGGGCUGGCCAGUUUGGAUGCUUUGAGUACUGAUCCAUCUUGCACGAUGCUGGAUAGCAGGACGGCCCCUGUAAUAAAUCCAGAGUUAAGGAAUGGCUUGCAGAGUGUUAAAUCUAACUCUUGUGCUGAAAUGGGAGGGAGUCAUAAAUUGCUGUGUGAUUCCAAAGACAGAAAGAAAAUAAUUGUCAUUGGAGCUGGUCCUGCUGGCUUAACUGCUGCACGUCACUUGGAACGUCAGGGUUUUUCUGUUACUAUACUCGAGGCUCGGAGUAGAAUAGGUGGCCGUGUUUAUACAGAUCGCUCAUCUCUUUCAGUCCCUGUAGAUCUUGGGGCUAGUAUUAUAACUGGAGUUGAGGCUGAUGUGACCACUGAAAGAAGACCAGACCCUUCCUCAUUGAUUUGUGCUCAGUUGGGCCUUGAGCUGACUGUGCUAAAUAGUGACUGUCCUCUUUAUGAUAUUGUGACCGGAGAAAAGGUUCCUACAGAUCUGGAUGAAGAAUUGGAAGCAGAGUACAACAGCCUUCUUGAUGACAUGGUCUUGGUUAUUGCUCAGAAAGGGCAACAUGCUAUGAAAAUGUCUCUGGAGGAUGGUUUAAGCUAUGCCCUCAAGACACGUCGCAUGGCACACCCUGGAGCCUUUUUCGAUGAAACUGAAUCAGGAAAUGCAGUGGAUGCUUUAUAUGAUUCCAAAACUUGUAGUGUUGAUGGUGGAGCUCCUGAGAAUUCUAAAGAGGAGAUUCUGAGUCCUCUUGAGAGGAGGGUUAUGGAUUGGCAUUUUGCUCAUUUGGAGUACGGCUGUGCUGCUUCUCUCAAGGAAGUUUCUCUUCCCUACUGGAAUCAAGAUGAUGUUUAUGGAGGAUUUGGAGGAGCUCAUUGUAUGAUUAAAGGGGGUUACAGUAAUGUUGUCGAGUCUCUUGGGGAAGGACUCUCCAUUCACUUGAACCAUGUAGUCACAGAUAUUUCAUAUGGCAUCAAAGAUGCUGGAGCAAGCGUGAGUCAUUGUAGCAAAGUCAAAGUCAGCACCUCGAAUGGUAGUGAGUUUUUGGGAGAUGCUGUGCUGAUUACCGUGCCUCUUGGGUGCCUGAAAGCAGAAGCCAUCAAGUUUUCCCCUCCGUUACCGCAAUGGAAACGUUCUUCCAUUCAGCGACUUGGUUUUGGAGUUCUUAAUAAAGUAGUCCUUGAAUUUCCAGAUGUUUUCUGGGAUGAUUCUAUGGAUUACUUUGGUGCGACUGCUGAGGAAACUGAUCGGAGGGGUCAUUGUUUUAUGUUUUGGAAUGUCAAGAAAACUGUUGGGGCUCCUGUUCUUAUAGCCCUAGUGGCUGGUAAGGCAGCUAUUGAUGGCCAAAGAAUGAGCUCAUCUGAUCAUGUAAGUCAUGCAUUAAUGGUUCUUCGUAAACUUUUUGGGGAGGCUUUGGUACCUGAUCCAGUUGCAUCAGUGGUGACUGAUUGGGGCAGGGAUCCUUUCAGCUAUGGUGCUUACUCCUAUGUUGCCAUUGGAUCAUCCGGAGAAGACUAUGAUAUAUUAGGCAGGCCUGUUGAGAACUGUGUAUUUUUUGCGGGUGAAGCCACCUGCAAGGAGCAUCCAGACACGGUUGGUGGUGCUAUGAUGAGUGGACUCCGGGAGGCAGUGCGUAUAAUUGACAUAUUGAGUAUGGGAACUGAUUUUACAACAGAAGUAGAGGCAAUGGAGGGGGCACAGAGACACUCAGAGGUUGAACGCGAUGAAGUUAGAGACAUAACAAAGAGACUUGAGGCAGUUGAGCUGUCCAAUGUAUUGUAUAAGAAUUCUCUAGAUCGGGCCAGGCUUUUAACCAGGGAAGCUUUGCUACGAGACAUGUUCUUCAGUGCAAAAACCAUUGCAGGACGUUUGCAUCUGGCCAAGAAGUUGUUGAAUCUUCCUGUUGGAACUUUGAAGUCCUUUGCUGGGACCAGGAAAGGGCUUGCUAUGCUCAACUCAUGGAUUCUGGACUCAAUGGGGAAGGAUGGGACUCAACUCUUGCGUCACUGUGUUCGUCUUCUUGUGCUAGUUUCAACUGAUUUACUUGCUGUGCGUUUGUCAGGCAUAGGGAAAACAGUGAAAGAAAAGGUGUGUGUGCAUACAAGCCGUGAUAUACGUGCCAUAGCAAGCCAGCUGGUUAGUGUGUGGCUUGAAGUCUUCCGCAGGGAAAAAGCUUCAAAUGGUGGGGUAAAGUUACCAAGGCAUGCAACUGCAUUGGAGUCUUCAAAGAGGAGAUUUUUCAACAAUUCAACCUCAGGAAAGCCACCUUUGCACACUCAUCAUGGUGCUUUGGAGAAUAGUGGCAAUCUGCAGGUUUCUACAUCGAUUAGAGGGCCCUUGCCAACAAACUCUAACAUGGAAAAAGGAAAGAGCAAGCCAGAAACUCUGAAUUGCUCAAGCAGACUGGGUACUGAGGUAGAGGAGGGUAACACAAUUGCCAUCUCUGAAGAAGAACGGGCUGCCUUAGCUGCAGAGGAGGCAGCUCGUGCUGCUGCCCAUGCAGCUGCCCAGGCAUAUGCAUCGUCAGAAGCCAAGUUUAGCACAUUGGUGCAGCUGCCUAAGAUACCCUCGUUUCACAAAUUUGCUAGACGGGAACAAUAUGCACAGAUGGAUGAAUAUGAUCUCAGAAGAAAGUGGUCUGGUGGUGUUAUGGGAAAACAAGACUGUAUAUCAGAAACUGACUCAAGAAAUUGCAGGGUUAGGGACUGGUCUGUUGAUUUCUCUGCUGCCUGUGCUAACUUUGAUAGUUCAAGAAUGUCGGGUGAUAACCUAUCUCAGCGGAGCCAUUCAAAUGAGAUUGCUUCACAUAUGAGUUUUAGAGAACAGUCUGGAGAAAGUGCAGCAGUGGACAGUAGCCUUUUUACAAAAGCAUGGGUGGAUACUGCUGGUAGUGCAGGGAUAAAGGGCUAUCAUGCCAUUGAGAGAUGGCAAUGUCAAGCAGCAGCAGCUGAUUCAGAUUUUUUCCAUCGGGCCAUGCAUAUAAAAGAUGAAGAGGAUUCAAACACAAGUUCUAGACCACCGACCUGGAAGCAUGAUGGAAGAGCAAAUGAGAGCUCCAUCUCACAGGUCACUGUAAACAAGGAGCCAUCAAAACGUCAUUCUCAAGGUGCUGAUCGUAUUAAACAGGCUGUUGUUGAUUUUGUUUCAUCAUUGCUCAUGCCUGUUUAUAAGGCAAGGAAAAUUGACAAGGAGGGGUACAAAUCAAUAAUGAAGAAAAUUUCAACCAAGGUCAUGGAGAAGGCUACAGAUGCAGAAAAAGCCAUGGCUGUUUCUGAGUUUCUUGAUUCCAAGCGCAAGAAUAAGAUCCGUGCCUUUGUGGAUAAAUUGAUUGAGAACCACAUGGCAAUGAAGCCAUCUGUUGAACCUUGACAGUCCCCAGAAUUGACUUGCCUGUUUUCAAGUAAUGCUUCUGUGACAUUUACAGAAAGUCCAUUCAUUUCUGUUCCUUCAAGAGUUCACAGUAUAAGAUGUUAGCCAUGGAGUUUGUGGCUCGGCCCGUGUAAAUGCUUAAUUUUGGAGUGCCAAUAUGCUGUUAAUGAUGCAGAAAGUGCCAUAGCAGAAAGGGGACAGUUUUCCUGUUGAAAUCAGGAGGGCCCCAGUGAAGAUUGAUCAAUAUCCAAGUAUUCUUGCAAAUGUCUUCAGAUUCUACUGGAGUGCAGCUCAGAGGGCCAUAGGAGCUUGACAAUUGCUGUAGCUCUGAUUACAAGGAUUGCAUCAGCAUAUUUUGAAUCAUAUUGUUCCUUGCAAUUGGUUGGGAAACAUAUUGUGGUUGUCUUGCCAAUGCGAGCCGUGUGUGCUAAAUAUCAGUGGCAUGGAACUACUGAAGAUGUGGUUAAUGUCCAGAAAGCGAGUUGUGUUUGCUCUGGCAGUAAUGAAGAAAACUCUGCCCCUGGUUAGUUGAUGGAACGUAACAUUGAUUUUUAGCUUUGAUUGUCUCCCAUCAUGUCACCGAUCUCAUUUAGAAUUAGGGAGAGAACAAAAGUUCUUUGAUGACAUUGGAGUGCUCAUUCAGUAAAUACAUUCUGCAAUGUGCUGACAUUUGUUUGGUUUGAUUUUGAUCUCUUUAUGGAAAGAAGAGGGCCUUUUUUGCGCGACAAUUCUCCAGGAUUUUUCUCCUCCGGAGCACUGCUUUACUAAUGCAUAAUAACUUGACGGUGACCAUCUUGUGGUUCCUUUUUGGACCUGAAACGACCUCGCAAGUUUCAGCUUCAAUAAAAUACUUUUAAGUGGUGCCUGGCCACUGCUUGUGUUGUCAUUUUUGUGCACACUUCUGACUGAAUUAUGAUUUAUCUAAAUUGCCUUUACGUCAACGGGUGUUAUCCUUCUGUAGAUGUAUUGUAUUAUUCUUUCAUAAUACAUGACAAGUCGCUUUGAUAUGAUAAAAAUUUCUUACAUACUCUC
Molecule: RNA transcript, 7099 nt
Organism: Populus euphratica (Euphrates poplar)
Lineage: Eukaryota; Viridiplantae; Streptophyta; Magnoliopsida; Malpighiales; Salicaceae
Gene name: lysine-specific histone demethylase 1 homolog 3-like
Exons: 11
Source: RefSeq, a predicted model, not a curated record